GUCCACGCCGUAAACGUUGGGAACUAGGUGUGGGCGACAUUCCACGUCGUCCGUGCCGCAGCUAACGCAUUAAGUUCCCCGCCUGGGGAGUACGGCCGCAAGGCUAAAACUCAAAGGAAUUGACGGGGGCCCGCACAAGCAGCGGAGCAUGUGGCUUAAUUCGACGCAACGCGAAGAACCUUACCAAGGCUUGACAUACACCGGAAAACCCUGGAGACAGGGUCCCCCUUGUGGUCGGUGUACAGGUGGUGCAUGGCUGUCGU
RNAcentral lists this ribosomal RNA (263 nucleotides) under uncultured bacterium. RNAcentral's name for it is "partial 16S ribosomal RNA". It matches the Rfam family "Bacterial small subunit ribosomal RNA", at positions 793 to 1055 of the family's 1533-position model. The record is from RNAcentral.